RNAcentral lists this long non-coding RNA (25934 nucleotides) under Cucumis sativus (cucumber). RNAcentral describes it as "long non-coding RNA (CSAT_LNC000719)". The record is from RNAcentral. Lineage: Eukaryota; Viridiplantae; Streptophyta; Magnoliopsida; Cucurbitales; Cucurbitaceae.
GAAAAGUAUCAUUGCCACGUUUACGAAUUUUGUUUUGGGUAAAAUUUUCAUAAUUUACAAACCUUGAUUGUUCUGCAGUGGUGGAAUUAGAGAGUUUAAAGGAAAGGAGAAGGAAGAAGAAGAAUAAGAAGGAAGUGGGGUUGAAGGUAUCCAUGGCGGACAUUGGGGGGCGGGUGUUUUAGUUUUAAUAUUCAGUAAUUUUGUUGCGUGUUUAGUGUUUUCUCUUUUAAGGGUUUUUAACAAAGAUGGAGACUUUUGAACAUGAGGUCUGAGCCAUUUGGUAAGCGGCCCAACAGGACACACACUUUUAUUCUCUUUUCUUUUCUUUUCUUUUUUUUUCUUUUCGUUUUUUUUUUUUUUCUUUUUUGGUUGUUUUUAUCUCUCAAUUUUAUUAAAUUCUCUGUCUGAAGAUGGGAACGCCUUGGCUUUGCCCUUCUGGCUAUGGAUGGACUGUUUACUCUAAUCUCUCCUCUCUCUCUCUCUCUCUCCUUUUUAAUAUUUUUGUUCUGGGUUAAUUCUUAAAAUUAAAGAUUACUACCCUUUUAAUCUUGGACAUGGUCUUUUGUCUACCUCACAUCCCCCACCUUUCCCUCACCCAUUACUCGGUGGGUUUUGUUACCUCCCACUUUCAUCUUGUGGGAGAUUGUCAAACUUAAACCUUUUCUUCUCCUUCACUUCCCAUUUACGGAUUACUUCUUGGGUUUUCUUCUCAGAUCCUUCUUCAUAGAUCGACCCCUUUUUUUCCCCUUUUCAAAUUUCAAAUUUCCCCAUCUCUUUUGGUAAGUUUUUCUUUUCUUUUCUUCCUUCUUCUUAGGUUGAUCGGUUCUUGUUGAUGGAUGAUUCAAUAAUCGAAUGUUUGAUCUUUGAGGUUUUCGUUUCUUUUUCGCCUGAGGUUUUUUAAUGCGUUAAUAGAAUUAGAGGAUAAUAUGAAUACUGUUCAGACAUCAUAUAUGAUAUGUUCUUACGUUUUUUUAAAAAGAAAUUUUAAAAUUAUAUAUCUUUUUUUUUUUUUGGAUUUUGUUAAAGGGUAUAUCAAAGGGUGAAAGGGUUUGGCUUUGACUUCUUCAAUCUGAAUUUUGAACUAAUCUUAUCGGUGACUUCGGCGAUGAUGGUUCUUCUAACCACGCCAAAGUUUAUGGACAUAAGUUGAGCGCCUUUGAUUUCUCCGCCUUCAUCAGUGCUAUUUUCUAGGUUGUUUUUGGUGUUGAAAGUUCUCAUUUUUCAGUUUUUUAUUUUAUUUUAUUAUAUAUAUAAUAUUGAGGCUGGGGUUAAGCUGUUUGCCUAAUCUGUGAGCCCGAUUUUUAUUGAUUCUGGGAUUUAGUUCUGUAGCGUUCGAUGCCUUUUCGUUUCUCCUCUUGUGGGUGGGAUAUGUUUUAGAUGCUUUGUUGAGUUCUAAAACCACAAUUUUUGGUUUCAUUUCCUCCUUUGACAUUUGAGCCAGUUACAGGACUUGAUGAGAUUUUGUACUGUUUCAUGAUGUCAAUGUGACAAUGUCGCCAUUGUUGCCAGCCCUCUUCUACGGAUAGGAAUCUGUAAAUGUGUAAUUUAAUCUGCAAUUGAUUGCAUGUUAGAAAUGUUUCGUUUGAAGUGAACAUUCUGCACCACGUUAUAACACCUCUGUCAUUGGUCAUUCUCACAAGUCGUUUCUGGGUGCUUACAUUCUUAAUUUGAAUGGUUUCUCCACUUCAUCUCAUUUUCUUUAUUUCGGUGAUGAAUUGUUGUAUGCAUUUCUAUGCAUGAUAUGGGACUGCGAUUUCUCCAGGUAUUAGAGAUUUCUUCCAGUGUUACAUUGUUACCAAAUGCCAAAAUCAGCAUUUCUUUGGCAUCUCUAAGUUCUAGCUGUUGAUUUCUCCUUAUAAUUUAGAAGUUUCCUUGUUCUGAUUAGGUUUCAUCUCUAGCUGAUAUCACUCAAAGGAAUUAGAGGUUUCAAAAUAUGUUAAAUUUUGUAAUAAUCUUAUUACAUUUAGUUGUUUGUAUGGGAAAUGUAUCGAAGGUUGAUUUAUAGGAAGCAAGUGUUGUUUAGUAGUAUUAAGCUCUUAGCUUGCAUUGUUGUUGCUAGCCAUUAAACUGGAUUAGAGAAAACGAGUACUGUUUGGGGUUCGGUUGUGCAGAUUUUGUGAUUUAUUGUCAGUUUGGAAUCUUUUCUUUUACCUUCAUCUAUUCUUGUUCCACAUUCCUAUACUCGUCUAGAAAUUGCUUUGAAUGCUGGCAAAUAGUACUUGAUACUUUGGUUUAAGUAUCAAGAGUCUUUGUGCCAAUAAAAAUAUUGUGUUCGAUCAUGGAGUUUAUUUGUUUGACAGAUCUAGCAUGCUAACUUGUAAUGUUGUAUGAAGCUCUUUAACUUCUUGUUCUAAUUGGCUUUUUGUUUCAUUGGUUUCAGAUUCAAUCAAGUGUAUGUGGCUUCGUUUGUUGUCUGGAAAACUUUUUUGACCUGGCUCAUAUUUGAUAGAGAAAUUUACAUUUUCUCUAAUGCAAGGGCAAAGGAGUAGUAUUGGUUCUUUGUCAGAAACAAUAAACUUUGAACAUGGAUCUUCAUCAAAUAAUCCUGGUAACCAACCAGUAUACUGGAAUAAUGUGUGGAAUCCAGCAGAGAACCGAAUACCAGAUUAUUUAUUACCUACUUCUGAUGUAAAUUCUGGAUAUGUAAGCUCUGUGAGCCAUGAGCAACGAAGUUUGAGCAGAUGGAGCUUGGGUGAACCUAGCUCUUGUGAUAUGCAAACUGAGAUGCUGCCUGAUGAGCAGAAAGCUGAAAUUGGAUGGUCUUCAAUGGCUCGUGAUGCAGAUGGUCCUGUUACUGAAAACCGACUCUGUGAGCCAUCAAAUAAUCCUUCACUGGGUCAUGUGAAUCUGAGCCCACUGAUUAUACAAAAUUCUAAUUCUAAUUCUAAUGCUAUUCCUCAUAAUCUCAACUUAAAUUCAAGUUUUGUUAGUCAUGGAGGUGACAAUAGCAGAGUUAAUGAAGGUACUAACGUGUAUAAAUCUAGUGGACCAGAGGAAGGGAGGAUUUUAUGUUCUAAUGCGUCUGAUCCUCUUCUACUUCCUUCUGGAAAUAGUGGACUUCCGGUGGUUGGAAAUGAUGGUAGACCAGGCUCUUCCUUGGAUGGCCGGCGAGCACCCUGCAAAAGAAAAUCUAUUGAAGGAAAUGUUGCACAGUCCUCCCUAAGUGGAAGCAGCAACUACUCACAACAUAUUGAAAGUGGAUCAGAAGCCCAUCUUCCAGUGUUCCCUGGUCGCUACAACACAGGCAGUAGGUUAAGCAUACCUCCUCCACCAGCACGAAUGAAUCAGGCCCCUGUACGAGGUGCAGGUGAACUAACUUCCAACAGCUUCUCUGAGUCAAUUGUUGCUGAAAGCUCAGACAGUUCUCAAAGAAACUACCGUAUAAGGAUUAGUUCAUCAAAUGCACCAGAUUCUUUUGCAUCGGCAGGAACUGCUGUUAGGCAUCCUGGGCCACCAUCUUCCCAGCUGCCAGGUAGACUUCUACCUGCUGAGCAUAUACUAGACUUGAGGCCAGCACCAGCUGUAGACAAUGUAUCAGCUCAAGGUCAGCCAAUUAUGAUACAUGUGCCUGCUUUACCUCGAAGUUUGCAACCAUAUAGGUGGAAUGGAAGCUCUUCUUCCAGAAGUGGCAGUUCAUCAAGCUCUGCAGGGGAGAGGCAGGUGGUGCAACGUGAAGAGGUGAGACCAAGCAGCAUGGGAAGAAACGUAUCCGAACAUCCUAUGUUUGUCCCGGCAAAUGAGCUGAGGGGUUUGGUUCGGAGUCCAUCAAGUAGAGCUUUAGCAUCUUCGAACUUGUCCAUUCCUGGAAAUGUUGCUUCUACAUCCAGGGUUGGUUCAAGUUCAGGGGUACAUCCCUCUUCUGGACCUUGGAUUCCUCCUGAGAGUUCUCCUACACAGUUUCCCAGGAGGUUAACAGAAUAUGUUCGUAGGCAGUUAUUUGCUUCUGCUACAAAUGAGUCUGGAGGAAGGACAAGUAAUUAUUCACAGCGUUCAGGUUCUACUUCUGCCCAGGAGAUGGUCCUUUCAUCUGGAUCUGGCCGCCGGGGGCACCAUUUAUUGCAACCGAGGUCUGCAUUAUGGAUGGAAAGAAGAGGUGACAGUGGACUUGGUCUUCCAUAUUCAUUACGAACUUUGGCUACUUCUGCUGAAGGAAGUGACAAUAACAGACUUGUAUCUGAGGUAUGUUGAAUUUUUUAAUGGAUUAACUGAAUGAUGACCCUAGGUUCAUAUGUGUUAUAUAUGCAUGCCUGUCUGCAUCUGCAGAGAUGUUCAUUUUGAUUGUUGAAUCUUGUGAACAUCUUUGCUUCCUGAAUUCUUUUUAAUGCCAAUCCCUCCCGUUGUUUAAUCGAUCAAUUUUUUUAUUAUAUUGUCUCUUAAAAGUUGCAAUACUUUCAUGUCUACUGGAGAAACUUUAGAUGUUGUGGGUGUCACGACUUUUAUGCUUGGGACUGCAUAUCCGUGAAUUACAUAUGCUAGUGUGAUCAACUUUGCUCCUUCAAAAGCAUGAUGGGAAUUUUUAAAAUAAAUUCCCAUGUUCACCAACUCUGAUGCCCUGUCAACAAGAAAGAGAGGGGGGAAGUCAGGGUGAGGGAGGAACUACUGUAUGACUAUCUAAGUACCUUCCUCAUUUAAUGCAAGCCCUUAUGAAUUGAAAAUUGCUAUUCUGAAAUUGCUGGAUAAAAUUUUUCUGGGACCGCAAGCUUUUCUAUAUGACUAUCUAAGUAACUUUCUGGAGAUUGCGUCCACUAGGAUGGUGUUUGCUGGACUACAAACUGCAGUCAAAUUCUUUGGGAAAUCCUUCUCAGCAUAAGUUACCUUUUAUUAACAAUUUUUUUUUCCUCCAAUUCUAAGUAAUCUUACAUUACAAGUAUGUUGGGUUGUGCUGUAAACAAGAUUUGAUGGAUUAUGAUGCUGUCUUCAACAGUUCAGUUUUCUGUUGGUAUUCAAACUUUGGUUGAUUCUUAGAAGCUCACAUGCUAUUGUUUUGUCUGCAGCACCUUCGUAAUGUCUUGGGCCUUGUUCGCAGGGGUGAAAGCUUACGAGUUGAGGUAGGAACCUUAUUGGUGCUGUAUCAUGGUCAGUUGAUGGCAAAGUUGCAUGAUUGUAUUGAGAUACAGGCAGUCGUUUAGUUACAUGUUUCAUUUUUGUUUAGAUUGGUUACAAUGUGUAAAUGGUGGUGAACAGCUACUUUGUUUUGUUCACAUUCAGUUGCAUUUGGGAUAAAGCUAAAUGGUUCACUUAGUUGAUAUGAAAUAGACUUGAUUUGAUGAUGGUCUAGGACAGGAUCUUGUAUUUCUCCCCUCCAUGGCUUUGGACUUUCUCUAGGGCUUUUGAUUUUACAAUGUACCAAUGUUAUUGUAGCAAUACAUUUUUUAUUAUUAUUGUUAUUAUUUGUUUGGAGUGGGGGGGGUGGGGGAUUCUGGUGGCACCGACUGAUACAUAGUUUCGUGAGAUUUCCCAUAUUCAAAAGUCCUUGAAUUAAUAAUCGUGAAUAUUCUCUAAAUUUACAUGGCGGGGAGGAGGAUUUGUGUCAAAUUUGAGGAAAUUGUGUUCUUCAUGGAGACAACUUAGUUUUGUCAACGAGACUUAGUUGAAGUCAUUGACUCGACAUUUUUAACUCUUGUUUUAUAAUUAUGGUCAUCAAUACUAAUGUUGCUUUAUAAUUUCUCUUCUGUCAGGAUGUGAUGAUCCUGGACCAAUCACUAUUUUUUGGGAUGGCUGAUAUUUAUGAUAGGCACAGGGACAUGCGUCUAGACGUUGACAACAUGUCGUAUGAGGUUUGUCUAAAAUACAAACCAACCAACCGAUGUAUUUUGCACCUUUUUCGUGUUGCCUUGUUCGCGUUUUAACUAUGUGAAAGUGCAGGAAUUGUUGGCAUUGGAAGAGCGUAUUGGGAAUGUCAACACAGGACUAAACGAAGAGACAAUAGUUGCUCGACUGAAACAAAAGAAGCGGGUGAAUGCUGUUGACUCACAGGUGGAGGAAGAACCAUGCUGUGUUUGUCAGGUUGUAACAGAUGUAUCUUUUGAGCUGUUAUCAUUCUUGAAACUGCACAACUUUGUAAUGUCUGUCUCCUUCCCUCAUUAGCAUCCGACUAACAACCCAGCUGAUGAUUUCCAGGAGGAAUACGUGGACGGAGAAGACAUUGGAACGCUGGAAUGCGGGCAUGACUUUCACACAGCAUGUAUUAAGCAGUGGCUGAUGCAAAAGAAUCUGUGUCCCAUAUGCAAAACAACUGGUUUAGCAAGCCGAGAAUGAAUGAACCUUGGUGUGGUGGUUGCUGCUUAAGAGACAAGGAGUUAAAAAAAAGCAAAGCAACUAUGGAAUGGAAUCAAGGAAGGAAAUGCUAGGAUGUUGCUUGCCAGUUAUCUACCUCUGAAGAACCACAUUCAAGUUUCUCUAUAUACAAGUAGUAGUAAAAUUUUUAUAUAAUGCAAGCAAUCAUUUUUUUAAAAAAAAUUUGUUUUGGAAGGGAAGGAAAAGGAAAAAAAAGAAAAAAGAAGAAAAAUUCAAGGGUUGUAAUUGGCAAGGAAUUGUUAGCUUUAAGGUUAUGAUGGUGAUGAUGAUGAUGAUGGUCGGUCAAACUAAUUAAUGUUUACUCCCAUUGACAUUAGAGAUUGUUGGUCUUAAUAUAUCAUCGGAUUUUUCCAUAUAUUUAUUUUAUACCUCGCAAAACUUAGUGGUAGUAAGUAGUGAGUAUUAUUAUUGUUGAUUUCCAAAUUGGAAAAAUGGUUUAUUAUUCCUUCUUCUUUUCGGUAAAUAUAAUGUGUUUGAUUUAAUUUUGUAUUCAGACGCUAUGUCCAAAGUCUCCAAAAGGCAACAGAAAAAGAGUAGAAUAUUUGGUGUUGGUUAUAUUAUGGUUUUGUGUAAUAAAUUGGAAAUAGCCAAACGGUGACGUUUUUGGUUAGGGAUAAGACGGUGAAUGAUACAUCAUUAUUAUAUCUUUGACUUUAUGAAUCUGCCAUCCUCUCAUUUACUUCUCUUUCCUCAUCCAAUCACUUUUAUUGCUCUUUUAUUCUCUUCUCUCUCUCUUUUUUCUUUUUAAUUCAAAUAUACUAUUACCUUCCCUUUAAUUUUAUUUUUUAUUUCUUCUUUUUUCUUACAAAGAAAAUAUGUUUCUCCUUUCACUUUAAAGUUAUUUGAUGAUUUCAAAUGGAGAGUCCAUUAUUCACAUGUAUUCAAUAACAUCCAAUAUAGUCAUUUUCCCAUCAAAUAUGUAUUUGUAUACUGAUCAUAUAUAUAUAUAUAUAGGAUAAUUGUUAUGGAUGCCAAAAAUAUUAAAAUUAUUUACAAUUUAUAGCAAAAGAAAAAAACAUGAAUAUAAGAGUUUGAUUAAUUUUGUUACAUUUGUAAAUUGUUUUAAUAUUUUGCUAUUUUUAGAAAUAUAUAUAUAUAUAUAACAAAACGAUAAUAAGAUAACUAUCCGGAAAAUAAACAAAAUCUUCUCAUACAACAAUGCCCAAUUUAUAGUUGAGGUAAUGUUUUCAGUUUUUAUUUUUAAAUAGUCUACAAGAUAACAAUAAAAAAAUCUCGUAAGUACUUUAAAAUUCAACAAAAUAAGUGAAAAUAAAAUGUUGUUUUUUUUGGUUAAAUGGUAAAUUUAUUCAUUUCACUGAACUAAAAUUUAAUUUAUAAUUUUUAGUUUAACAUGAAAAUAUUGUCAUUUGAAUUUUGCAGAAGUAACACUUGAAGUCAUAAAUAUAAUACUUAAAAUAAUAAGUCCAAUAAAUAAGUUAAAUUUGUUAAUAAUAUUUAUGACAAUCAUGUGAGAAAAAUACAAUUAAAUGUUUUUUAAAAUUCUACUUAAAAAAAAUGAAAAAUUCUUACAAUAAAAACGAACACAUGUAAAAUUUUCAAAAACAGCUACCCAUCCAAAAGUUUAAAACUCAAAUAAGGUGAUUAACUUCAAAUUUAAUUUAAUCCCUAUACGUUGAAGUUUACAGGUACGUGACUUAGCGUCUUAGGUUGGGUGAGGUAACACAUCAUUUGGUUCAUACAACACUUUUAUACAGUAAUCAAUAUUGAGAAUAUCUUCUUGUUUGUCUGAAGAAUGGGGUGAGAGAGUUUUGAGUUGUGUAGAUUCUAAUAUUAUUUUGUUUAAAAGAAAAUUAGGUUUAGUUUUAACUUUCUAAUUUGAUGUCUAUAAUGUUUAUUCAAUAACAUUUGAAAAUUAGGAGGUGUAGGUACUGAAAUGAAACACUUGGUUACGUGAAUGAAAAUGGUGAUGAAUGAAAGAAAAUGUGAAUUUGCAUAAAAAAAGGAAGCAGUGAGAUUAAUUAGAUUAUUAUUAAAAAGAAGACAAAAAGGGAAAUUAGGUAAAAGACAAAUCCUCUAUUUUUGGAAAAGAUUGUAAAUAAAAGAAAGAAUAGGGGAAGUUUUGAAAAAGAAGUAACUGAUGGGUUUCUGUAAAGUAUAAAAAGAAAGAGAAAAAAGGAAACGACAAAAAGAUUAAGGCGGGAGGGGUGGGAUUAAGAAGGAAGACGAUAAGUUGAACCUCGGGACGCAGACCAGAAGUCAGCAACUUCACAAAAACACCAUUAAUGACAAUCCUUAAUCCUUGUUUUUGCUUUCUACCCAACAAAACUAAUCAUCCAACGCUAAAAGAUAAGACGGAAUCCAAGAAAAAGUACACACAAACUCAGACCAAUACCAUACAAAUAUAUAAUUCCUUCCACCCCAAACCGUUUCUGCACACAAAGCCAACAUACCCAACGUAAUCCUUCAUUUUUCAUCCUUACUUUCAACCCCUUUUGAUCCUCAAUCAUGGCGGAUCUCUACGGAACUUCCCCUUCUUCCGAUGUUGUGGGUUUGCCCCAUGACCCUGAAGAUUUCUCUUCUUUCAUCAAUCACCACCUUCAAACCACUACUUCUUCUGCUUCUUCCCCUUCUUGCGUUUCCUUCAAGAACAAGUUCAUGCCCUUGUUGCAUUCUCAACCUCCUUGGCACUCUUCGCCGAUGUUUUCUCGCCGGCCCGAUUCCACCUCUGUUCCCGGUAUGUCCUGCAUGCUCGAUUUUCCCGAGGAUCGGCUUCAGUCCAGUCGUGUUUUGAACCACGCUUUGUCGGAUUGUAAUGUUAGGGAUGUGAGAUUUGCUGAUGCUUCGUAUUUGGCUGUGAACUCAACUUGCGGCGGCGUGAAAUUGUCGGAUCCUGGUGACUUUCUCAAAGAAAGUUCCGACAACGCCUUUUCUUCCUCCGGCGCUGUUGAUUCCGAUACGAAUGCACCGUUGAAGAGAAGGGGUCUUUCGUCUGAAAAUGAUCUUGGGGAUUUCAGUUGCGAUAGCGAGGUAACUUCCUGUUUCCUCAAAUUUCACCGUUUGAAACUUUUGCUUAUCUUGAGUUAAUUCGAUUCUCUCAGGGUGGGGAUUUGCCUGAAGUUCCAUCUAGUACUAAUCUGCCUCGAAAUUCAUCGAAGAGAAGUAGAAGCGCUGAGGUCCAUAAUAUGUCGGAGAAGGUCAGUUUCAUAUUGGGUCCCCGAUUUCUAAGCAUUCUUGUCUUUAAGUUUAGACUAAGAGCGAUUGAUUGCUGAUAUUUUUGCUAAUGGUUUCGGUGAGUGGGCCAGAGACGAAGAAGGAGGAUCAAUGAGAAAAUGAAAGCUCUUCAGAACUUAAUUCCCAAUUCAAACAAGGUAUAUUUGUCAAAUUCAAGACUAUGGCGGUUUUGAUUACUUUUUAAGUAUUUAGAGUUACAAUCAGAUUGUGGUUUGACAGACGGACAAAGCUUCAAUGUUGGAUGAAGCAAUUGAGUAUUUGAAGCAGCUUCAACUUCAAGUCCAGGUGGGUGUCCUUUUUUUUUUGUUUUGUUUUGUUUUGUAUGGUUAUGUGCCUGAGAAUUUGAUCACGUUUUUUCACUUUUGUUUGCUAUGGAAUUAUCUCUCUUUAUACGUGUACUCGUUCAUUUUUAUUGGUUUCUAAUUACAAAUAGUCCAUGAAUUUGGGCCACAGAAUCUUAUGUGCUGAUAUAUCAAAAAGUAAUGUUCCUUUUGUCCUCAUGAUAUGAGUCAAACGUGCCUGCACUUCGAUUUCUGGUUGCAUUUCAAUCAGAGAACUUUGAAUAUUCAAACAGUUUCAUCCUAAUUUUAUUUCUGGCCAAACCUUACUAGAGAAAAGCCAAUUGAUAGUGAAAUUUUUUGAGUCUUGAGUGUUGAUUAUUUUCCAAACCCAUGGUUCUGUAGGAGUUCUGUUACUCAUUCUGAGAAUUAUUGGGACAUUUUCAGCUGAAAAAGGCUGAAGAUCUCCUCCUCCUACCGCCGAUUAACACUGUGUGUUUGAUUACUUUUCACUCUAUCACUAUAAGAUUAUGCUUCGUUUGAGCUUUUCCUAACAUAACCAAAAUUUUACUUCUUAAGAGAAGAUGGUUCACGAAAUAGAGGUUUUUUCUUAGCUAACUUACGUUUGAGACAAUGAUGUCAAAAUAAUAGAUUUCUAGGACCUCAUAUUCUUUCUUAUCACGAAUUUGAUGGGUGCUUAUGAGGAGCAGGAAUAAUACCUCUCUUGAUCAUUGUUUUGUCGAAAAUUUUCCCUGUUUUAGUUGCUCUUUUUGGGCUAUACUAAAUCUGAUAUUGAACUAUAAACGAAAACGAAAUUACAAGAUAAUUCAAGAGUCCAAGGUACUUGGACCCUCCGAAUCUUGGCAGUACUCUCAGGCCGUAGUAGACUUCACCAAAUAUUGCCUAUCUCCCAUCUUCUCCACUCGCUGUAUUUACUUAAAACAUUCAUAACAAUCCCUUAAUACUCUAAUUAUUUCCUUAAAACGUUCAUAACAAUCCCUUAAUACUCUAAUUAUUUACUUAAAACAUUCAUUUCAAAUAAUGAGGUUUGGAGCAACUAACAGCUUGUUCCAUUUUUUUCUCUCUAGUUGACAGAAAUGGUCAUAGUUUGAUGAACAUAUUUAAACUUGUUAUCAAUGACGUUUGGCUUUGCAGAUGUUAUCAAUGAGAAAUGGCUUGAGUUUGCAACCAAUGUGCUUGCCAGGAAUGCUGCAGCCAAUUCAACUACCUCAGAUGGGGUUGGACUACGAUGUAGGAAAUGCAUUUCUAACAUCCCGAAGAGGAAUAGAUACAUCGUCUACUAGGAACGAAGGAUGUCCCAUGCAAUCUACAUUCAAUCUUACCAACAAAUGUAACCUUUCAGAUCAGUCAAUUGCCAUCCCUUCUGUACCAAACACCACAACCUCAGAAACUGCAUUCGGUUUUGAACCCACAAUUCAGGGUUAUGAUGGGGAGUUUAACCUGUCCUCCGAUUUCAAGGUAACAAACAAUAUUAACCAGCUUCUUUCUAGGUUAGUGAAAUUGGGACCAAAUAUUUUCUUGGAAAUAUGCAGGAUGGGGAACCAGCCGCACAGUUAGAUUGCGCUCAGACGGGGAACGAGUCAACAGACGCUUCUUAGCUGUAGUCCUUUGCAGGAUGCUGGUCACUAGAGUAUGGCCUUUUUAAUGAAGCAAUUUCUUUACUUUCCUUGUGGAUUUUCAACAACAAACAUUAUAGAAACUACAAAAAGUUCUAUUUUCACACUUACCAGAAAAUCUAUUGUAGAAUAGGUUAACAACAUAAUCUUGAUAUUUAUGCCUUUGACUCUAUAUUUUUAAGAAAAAAAACUUCAAGUAUUAGUUAGGCAAACAUAGAAAUGCAGAAAUCUACCUGAUCUGCUUUGUUUGAAAAGAAAGAGGAUAGAAGCUGCCAAAUGUUUUUGGGGAGAAGCAAGAAAAAGAAAAAGAAAAAGAAUACGGUGGUCCUUCCUUACCUUUACCAAUUAGAUGCUCUCUAUCUGGACUCAUUGAUGUGAAGUAGAUCAAUUAUUUUGCCUUGUAAUGCUGUCAAGAAAUGAAAACAAAAAAUAUGUUGUCUCUUUGCAGGAUAUUUUUGAGAUAAAUACCCAUUCAUAAUAUACGAUAAUAUCAAUUUAACUUUGUUCAUAUGCUGUUUGAUUUUGGUUUAGAUUGAAAACUGACCCAAAAUAGGGACAAAUUGGGCCAAGUUGAUAUGAAGCCAUUUGGCAGAGGGAAUAUGUCUCAUAUGAUAUAAUAACAAAUCAUAUGAAAUGAUUAAAGAUGAAUUCGAAAGAAAAAGAAGGGAAAAGAAAAGUUUGGGGGUGCCCUUAAAAAAAGGGGAGGGUCUGAAACUUGUUCAGUGGUCAAACUCUAUUUUAUGGGGAGAGGUAAUUAAUUAUGUAACAUUGACUGACACUUCUAAUUAUUAAUUAUUACUUAACUAAUGAGCUACCCAUCCAUUAUUUUUAGUUAAAGCAGGCGCUGCAGUCAGGCAGACAAGCAGAGUUCUUUAAUCAACAAUAAUAUUGUUGGAAUAAUUUCUUCUCAAGUCUUUUUUUAAAGUUAAAGUUUGUGUUUAAUAGGCCAUCAACUUAAUUUCUCAAGAAUGACAUUAUGUCUAUUGUUCAACAGGGUUCUUAGUUUUUAUAUUUGUCUAUAAUGAAUAUGUUGGGGUUCACAAUUGAAAGUUUAAGGAAUCUUUGAUGUUCUGAGGACUAGUUGGACAUUUUGCAAAGUUCAGGAACAUCAAAUAAAAAAAUUUCAAUUUAGGAUCUACACACAAAGAUGAGGGUUAAGGGCUAAACUGUCACUAAACAUUUUUUAAUGAUUUCUUUUUUUGGGUGAAUUUGAUGGCAGCUAAAUUAUUAAUCAGCAGGUUUCUCCUAAAAUUCAAGAUUAUGUUCGUGUGUGUAUUUGUAUCGAUCACAUAUCAUACAAAGAAACAACAAUAAGUCUAAAGAAAAAGGAAAGACAACAGCUAUAAAGGUCGUAUAUUUAUGUAUGAGUCAAAUAAACACUAAUUCUGGGUUUAGAAAGUUGUUCUUUUACUAUUACUGUUGUUAUUAUUUUACAUGAUUUUUAAGAAAAAUUAUCAAUCUUGUUAAACUUUUUUUUGGACAAGGCAACUUUAAGUUAUGAAUGAUAACAUGGUUUGUCAACAAAUUUUGAAUUAUUUACUUAGAAUGUAGAAAUCAAUUCUUGGAUGUAAUAAUUUCGUUCUGUGAAAAUGAAUUCUUGGAUAGAUAAAUAUAUACGUACACACACAAAUAAAUGGAAGAAACUUUUCUUUUUGGAAAGGAAGUAUAAAAUAAUUAUAAACAAGGAAAGUGGUAGGAACACCUUGGGAUGAUUCUUCCCCCCAACUUUUAUUUUUUUUAUUGGGUUUUUGUUUGAAUAAUGUCUACUCUUUUUUUAGAAAAUAAGAAAAACACAGAUGAUAAUUCAUGUUUUUAAAUAGAAAAGGGGAAAAAUUUUAUUAUUCAAUGUGAUCAAAUAUGUAUCAUAUCUAACAACCAAUUCUUUCUAUAUUGUAUAAUUAAAAGAAAAAAAAUCGAUUAUUCUUUAUGAUCACAAAAUAAAAAAAGAAAAAAAAAAGACAAUUUAUGAAUAAUUAAAAAAUUGAACGCGUAAAAAGCAAUAAAGGUAUUACCAAUUUUCCCCAAAAAUCUAAACUCAAAAUUUUAGAAUAUUUCUGUAAAGCCAAAUAAAAAGAGGAAUAUGAAUAAAUAACUUAACAUAGAUAUCUAUUUUUCUAAUGAAAAAUGCUUUUGGGUACAUGCCGACUUGUAUUCAUCUUGAGUUAUCCAUUCGAAACUCUAUCACAAAUUAGAGCAAAAUUUAUCUAAUUCUCUAGAGUUCAUUUAAUUUUUUUUUUUUUGAUAUAUUUUGUAAAUUAUUGUUAUUAUUAUGAGAAAGAAAAAAAAGCAAGUUGGUUGUUAGAUUUUGAGUCCAACACCUAAAAGAGAAAGAAAAGAAAAUUAGAAAUGAAUAAUGGUACUUUGGAAGUAAUUAUGUAGAGUCUAUACUACAAUUAAUUAAACUCUAGAUUUUUGGAUUUAUCCUUUUCUAUUUUCUAUUUUUUUUUAAUACAAAGUCCGUGAUGACUAUAUUUAUAUAUAUGAACAAAUUACUUUCAAUUAAAAGCUUUACCAAUUACACUAUCAUUAUUGUAUUGUAGCAAUAAGAAUCAUAUACUAUAAAAAGAGUAUUUGUCACUCUAUGUUGUCUUAAGAAUUGGGUUAGUUGAUUUGCAUAUUUUAUAUUAUAAGGCUAAUGAUCUAACAAAGACAAUUCAAGCAGUUUACUUACUGAAAACAGUGUAUAUAAAAUAAUUGUGGAGAAAGAAUCUGCAACGAAAAUGGAUUUUAGUGAAUAAAAAUGAAAGAAGGUCGUCUCAAAUUCAGAAAUCAUUUGUAGCUUACCGUGGAAUUUCAGAUAAAGGCUCACCGGGGAAGAGGGUUCAAUAAAUGGAUGGGCUUUUGUAGGGUUGAUUUUUCUUUCUUCUCUUCUCUUCUUCACCAUUGUUGAAGAUGGAAGUCCCAUCAUGCCAGCUCUUUCUUUCUCUCUCGCUGUGAACCCCACUGAAUGAGUGGAAUUUGCAGUUUAGUUUCUUGUCUUCAUUUUCGAGAUUUAUUGUAUCCUUUGCUUUUGCCACUCAGCUAAUUGUCCUCCUUCUUCUGUGGUUGUCUCCGCCACAAAAACAGUCUUGAAAGGUUUGUAGAACAAGGGGAAGAGGAAAAAUGUCUAAUUAUGCCUUCUUGAAUGACCAGCUCUCGAAGCGGACCUCCAUUUUCGGUUUGCGUUUGUGGGUUGUUUUGGGUAUUUGUGUUGGUGCUGCCAUUGUUAUUGUUCUCUUCCUCAUUUCCUUAUGGUUCACUUCCAGGCGUAACAGUUCCAAUAAAUCUAAACCCUCUUUGAACCCCAUUAUCCCAAAUGUGUCUAAGGAAAUCCAGGAAAUACGAAUUGACCAUUCUCGGAACACUACUCAUUCUGACCCCAAAGUUCAGUUGGCUUCUAACCCUGAGCCUUUGCCGGAGGCAGAGCCUUUAGCGACGCUGCUUCAGACGGAAGAAGGAAGCCCACCUAGUGGACGCCAUAGAAUUCACAUUGAAAUUGGGAAGGACCAUCGGAUUUCUUACCCAGAGAGAGGUGGCGGUUCGUCCCACGGAAGUGGAGAGGCUCGGUCUGGUGAUCAGGCGCCAAUGACUGUGCCGGAGGUUUCGCAUUUGGGUUGGGGCCAUUGGUAUACUCUCAGAGAGCUUGAGUAUUCUACUAAUAGUUUUGCGGAUGAAAAUGUAAUUGGUGAAGGCGGAUAUGGUAUUGUGUACCGUGGGGUUCUUGAGGACAACACCGUGGUUGCCAUCAAGAAUUUGCUCAAUAACAGGUUCUUCUUCUCAUUUUAUUUCUUUUUUCACAUGGAUCUUUGUAAUUUAUCGCAGUUAUGUCAAUGCAGUACGAGCAUUUAUCUUAUGUUACAAGAAUCCACAACUGCAAUUGAUACAUUAUGUUGUUCCGCUGGAAGAAAUUUUAUGCACUAUUUCUUGUGUUCAGAGGACAAGCUGAGAAGGAGUUUAAGGUUGAAGUGGAAGCAAUUGGACGUGUUCGCCACAAGAAUCUGGUGCGUUUGCUUGGCUAUUGUGCUGAAGGAGCUCACAGGUAUUCUGAUUUUCCUCCAAAGUAAUCCUGUAGAAGCUUAAGAAACUGUAAACACUCUCUUCUCUAGUUAAUUUGAGAACGUGUGUGCAUUCUGCUUGUCUUGUUGUAGGAUACUUGUCUACGAGUACAUUGAUAAUGGAAACUUGGAACAGUGGCUUCAUGGAGAAGUUGGACCUUGUAGCCCUCUAACAUGGGACAUUCGAAUGAAUAUAAUUGUUGGAACAGCGAAAGGGUAUGUUCUAAAUUGAGUUUGCGUUCACUAUUUUGGUUGUAGAUAAGUAAUAUUCUUCAACAUCUUGCCAUAGUUUUGAGUUUGACUUCAUAAAAUCACAGGUUAACAUACCUCCACGAGGGACUCGAGCCUAAGGUUGUUCACCGUGAUAUCAAGUCAAGUAACAUUUUGCUUGACAAGCAGUGGAAUCCAAAGGUCUCUGACUUCGGCCUAGCAAAGCUUUUAGGCUCAGAAAGGAGUUAUGUAACAACUCGUGUGAUGGGAACUUUCGGGUCAGUCUAAGUUGUAGAGUGAAAUGUAUUACUUGAUUUCUAAUUUUGAAUUCAUGAACUUGACGGAGUAACUUACACAAUGCCGACUGGGGUUGUUUUGUAGAUACGUAGCUCCAGAAUAUGCAAGUACUGGCAUGUUAAAUGAAAAAAGUGAUGUAUAUAGUUUUGGUAUCCUCAUUAUGGAGAUAAUUUCAGGGAGAAAUCCAGUAGAUUAUAGCCGCCCUUCAGGAGAGGUGUGUUUCUCAUCCAGAUUAUUUGUCAUUGCAUAACUUGGCCUAUACAGGCCUCUGCUUUCACCAUUAACUUUUCAUGGUUGAUUGGUGGAUCAAACUUUCAGGUCAACCUAGUUGAGUGGCUUAAAACAAUGGUUAGUAAUCGAAAUGCUGAGGGCGUUCUGGAUCCUAAGUUGCCUGAAAAGCCUUCAACAAGGGCACUGAAGCGUGCUCUGUUAGUAGCUUUACGGUGUGUGGAUCCUAAUGUUCAGAAGAGGCCAAAAAUGGGGCAUGUAAUUCAUAUGCUUGAAGCAGACGAGUUUCCUUUCCGAGAUGUGAGUUAGCAGCAUUUCAACUAUUACUUAGACCAACUUGAUGUGUGGGAAUAUUUAUCUUCAUUCCAUAAAAUUAGUUGCCUCUAUAGUCUUGUCUUAAAAGUAUUUUACAAAGAAUAAGUUAAUGAGUUACUUAAGUUAGAAAUCUGGUUUAUUUGCUUUAAACUAUGUAUCCGGUUUUUCCUCCUUCCAUAUCUCAUGAUCCAUCAUUGUCUCUCCUCAAUAUCUCAGGAUCGUAGAGUGGGACGAGAACCAGGACGAUCACUACUGAAGGAAAAGCUCAUGGAAAGGCUUGUGAGUGAAUCCGGAGAAAGCAGCGGAUAUGAAAGUGGAGCAACACAAGCAAGCCGACAUCUAUGGAGAAAGCAAGAACUUGAAGAACAACAGCCUCGCGAACCUCACACUUUAAGGUGAUCUUGUAUACCCAACCCACAUUAUUAUCAAUCAGGCUACACUCUAAAAUGUAAGGAUUAUUUCUGCAGCCUCUCCCCCUUGCUGUACUGUAUCAAACAAUCUGUAUAAUGUUUUGUAUCAAUCUUUCUCAGUUUUGGGAUUCAUUCUAAUGGUUUAUAAUCACCAAAAUUAGAUACCUGUAACUGUAAGUACAACAUUUGGAAGGAAAGUUUUUAGUUAAAUCUGAAAUGCCCUGAAUUAAGGAUGGUAAAGAGUGAAGAUGAGUACUUUUUAGGUUGAAGUUUGGUGGGUGUGAUUAGAAUCAAAUCGGGUCCUACUGAAGUUUUGGUGGGUGUGAUUAGAAUUAAUUGGGGUCCUAGUCUUUCACGAGCAUUACUGUUGGGGUGGGGACUUGGGUUUGUGAAGUAGAAGGAAGGAGAACCUUUAUUUUUCAGGUUUACAGUAAAGGAACUGUUGUGUGUUUGGAUUUUAGAAUCUUGGACCACUCUCUUUAAAGUUCUUCGGGUAUUGUUACUUGUCAAAAAGUCAUUAGAUUUCUUUUUUGCUUAUUACUUUUGGCAUUUCUGUUUUCUACUUCUAAAACUCUGAGUUCUGGUCACUGUUUUACUCUCUCUCUCUCUCUCUCUCUCUCUCGACACACACAUGGCAUUUCCUAUCUUGAAUCUUGUUUUUCAUUGGUUAUGAAUUUUGCAUGUGCUGAGCAUUUAUGCUAGUAGGGCAGAAGGCUUAUGCCACUUUCCCCUUCAAUUGACUCGAUGAUUGUUCUUUCACUUUCUUAAAGGUUGUUAAUUUAAUUUUAAACAUUUAAGAAUGGAAAAGAUGAUAAUUUUACUAUAUAUAGUUUCCCUCUCUACUUUUGAUAGUUAAACUCUUGUUAGAAGUAGGAAUCACAAAUGCACCUUUGAUCUCUUUCUAAGACUUUGUUAGAAAUAAGAAUUGCUUAGCAUCAUUAAACUCACUUUUCUUAUAUUCAAAAUCAACUAUUUCAAAAAUUACUCUUAAAAACAUUAAUAUUGUCAUAAUUUAGACUUUUGCUUACAAAUUGUAUUCGAAAAGAGAUUCGUACAAUCUUAGAUAUGUUUGGUAGGCAAAAUUCAAAUAUGCAUUGGUAGGUACUCAAGAUUUUGGAAACGAUGUUUAAAUUCAAAUUUACAUUUUUCUUUUGAGUUUAUUGCAGAGUUAGGGCCUAUAUCUUAAUUUGUUGGGAGGUGUGUGAAUGAGCAAUGAACAAGGAUGCUCUUUUGGGUGAAAAAUGAGAACUUAAUCCUUAUACUUCAUCACAUUGUCCAUACAAAAGAUUUUGAUGAUUCAAGAAAAUUGUGAAUUAUAUUGAAAAAUUAAUAGACUUGAGAUGAUGCAGAAACGAUCUUUUAGAAAAUACAUCAAGUAAGAAUAGCAGUGAUAAAUAAAACAUAGUGAAUAAUCAUCAAUAAAUAAAGUAAGAAUAGAGUUAUGAGUAGAAGUAGAUAUCAAGAUAUCAUGAUGAAUUAAGCCAAAAAGGUGUAUGACAUAACAUGAAUAUGAAAAAAAUUUAGGGAAGAUAAAAGCAAGUUGUUUCACAAGCUUACAAAUGAUACAUCAUGGUAGCAGUUUUGUUUUUUCUUUUUAGUAUCUUUUUUCCCUUGAGAAAUACCUCAUGGUAGAGUUUUCAUCAAGAAGUCAAUAAAAAUAUUUCUCAUGAGCCUCUAAUGAAUUAUAAGGCAUAUAUAUCGCUAUGAAAUUUAUAUGAUCUAGGCAAGAAUUUGAGUUUUUUUUAAAGAGUAUUUGUGCAUUAUUGAAAUUUAAUUGUGUAAAACGUGACAAUAAUUUUUUUUUUUUUAGAAUAUAGGCUUUAUUAUUACAACUUUUCUUUAAUUAAAACGAGUUAUUAAAGUUUUUAUAUAUUAUUAAUUUUAAGGUUAAAACAUGUGAGUGAAUUAGUAAAUCUCUGAAUAAAAGACAAAUAUAUCAGGUAUGCUUUAAAUGUUAAAAUUGAUUCAACUUGUCGAAUUUAGAUGUAAAAAUGGAUGCUUUCCAAACUAUAUUUAGAGUUGCAAAUUACUCAAGAUGGCCUCAAUGUUUUUAUUUAACUAGGUUCAUUAUUUUCUUCACUGUAUACGAGCAUACUCGUAAUUUCAUAUUUAAGAAAAAACCAAUUUACUCGGAAUGUUAAAGGUAAAACUACAAAAUUCAAACCAUAAUAAGCAAUCAAUUCAAAUAUACCUUUUUCUUUAAGGACGAUUCCAAUAAGAGAAAAAAAAACAAAGAGAGAAAUUGGUUUCAUAUUUUAAUACAAACACAAAUGAGCAUCCUGAGUUGCAAGUAAUUGAAAGUUUAAAUUGCGUAAAUAAACAUAAUACAAUUCAAUCAAAAUUACCCGAGAAGUUAUUUUGAGAUUCUAAAGGGGGUUCAAUGUGAAACACAUCUAAAAACUCUGCAUCUCAGUCCAAAACUAAAUUAUAUCCUUUAAAAUGAUAAUUAAUGUUCGGGAAUUACUCCCUUCAAAACUAAAUUAUUGAAGGAAAAAAAAUCGCCAGAACCAAGUCUAAAACUCUGGAGACAUUUUCAUCAACAUCUGAAAAAUGAAUUAACCUUUGCGGUGAGGUUAACCACCUCAGCUUAAGCGCCACCAGAUCCGUAUUUCUUCCCGAAGACGAUCACCUGCAACUUAUCGUAACCGGCAAGCACACCAGCACCAGCAACGGCACGGAGAAUGUUAGCACCAGCACCCUUGAAGAGAGACUUGGCACCUUCGUUCUUCAAGAUCUGAGAGAAGGCAUCCAUUGAGCUCUUGUACUUCACUGCUUCACCAGAUGUCAUCAUCAUUCUUCUACGAACAGUGUCAAUUGGGUAGGAUGCAAGACCGGCACCGUUGGUGAUGAGCCAACCAAGAGCAAAGCUAGCGAAGAAACUAUCCUGCUCUCACAUAAAAGGUAGAAUAUAAUCAGAACAUAGCAAUUCAAACAUUGGCAUUCAUUAAUGAACUCAAUUUAUAUAAUCCCCACAGCAAACAACUAAAACCACUAGCAAACUGACCUGCAUCUUCCCGGUCAACAAAACAGGCUUUAGAGAAUCGUACAUUCCGAAGUAUAAACCACGGUACACAAUGAUACCAACGCAAGAAAUGUUAAACCCACGAUAUAAACCAGCAACACCAUCAGACUGCAAUGUCUUCCUGUAGACAUCAACCAGUCCAUUGAAUUGCCUUUCUCCACCCUUCUUGGCAGCUUUGGCAUCAUUUGCCAAUCGGGUACGCGCAUAGUCAAGAGAGUAAACAAAAAGAAGGGAUGAAGCACCGGCUGCACCUCCGGAUGCAAGGUUACCAGCAAACCAUUUCCAGUAACCAUCCCUGUCUUUCUUGAAGUUGAAAAGUCUCUUGAAGUAAUCCUUAAAAGCAAAGUUCAAUGCCUGGAGCAUGUAACCAUAAAACAAUUAGCUCAAGAAAGUUUAAAAAAAUGGAGAGAUAAAAUUAUACAACAGAAGAAAACCACACACUUGAGUGGGGAAAUAACGGAUGACAUUGGCAGUGUUUCCUCUCCACAAUGAACCGAAACCCUCCUCUUGCAUUGUGCGCUUAAAACAAUCACCAAUACCCUUGUAUGGCUCAGACAAACGUCCAGAUUUAAUCAUCUCAUCUUGAUUUUGAAUUAAGAGUUUGACACGCUCAAUCGGGGCAGCAGCUGUUUUGGACACAGCAGCAGACACACCACCCAUAAGAAAGUCAAGCAUAAAGUUUCCUUUCUCAGCAGGGGCAGCAACAAAAAUGGGGGAAGCGGUUGAGGAAACCCUAGAAAGGUCAGUUGUAGCUACACAGGAUUGCACAGCAGGAUAUUGAAAAGCAGCAUUGGAAUAAUUGGUAAUCGGUGCACGUCUCUGAUAGAGUGCAGGAUUUCUAAAGCCAUCAUCACAAGCCCGGAAACCCGAAGCAACCCUCGACUGAAGGGAGAGCUGACCAGCAACCUUCUGAUAGAUAGUGGGAUGUUGAACCUGAUCAGCCAUGGCUACUUCUUCCCUGCAAUAAUUCCCAAUGAUUUCAUCAGAUGAGAAAUACUCGUUUCAAAUUUAGAACAAGAGAUGACAUUGAGACACCAAUACGACAGUAGUGGGCCAGAAGUACAGUUUAGGUAAGGCAGAUAGCUAUUCAAGGAAAAUGAGAUCAAUAAAGAAUCGAAGAACAAAGUUAAUAUUUUAUAAGCAUCGUUCAAUGUAGCAAAUCAAGUACUAUAAGUCUUCGUUGAAAACAGAGCUGUAAUAACAAAUGCCAAGGGUUGAAAAGUAGCAACAUGGUCAAGAGUAAAGAUCAUUUACUAAAACAUAUAAACCUUAAUUCUGUUUUAUGAAAUAUCUAAUCGCAAUAACAAUAACAUAAGAAAAAAAAACGUACACAAACACACCAAUUUAAGGGUCGGCUCCAAACACUUAAAAGUAAAGAGUAAAUGCAUCCGUAAGAGCGCAGAUUCAUAACAAAAAAUUCGCUGAUCCACAGUAAAACAAUAGGAGACAACCAGUACGAUAAGAGGUCUCAUCAGUCAUCGCUAAGAGGCCACACAGUCAGUACAUGAUGAUAAUAUGCGAGUUUUAUAAAAAUACAACAAAUGAGAUUAGAUCGGAAAAAAUGGGAACACAACAAACCCAAACAGAAACUAGAAAAUUCACAUCAAAGAUUCCGUUCAGAAACUUCAACAGCAGAACUUCGGAAAUAGUUAAGGUGAACAGUAAACACUAUAAGAGAUAUAUUUAGGAAGAACAGAUCUCAAUCUAGAAGUAAAUAUGAGAAAACCAACAGACAAAUCCGACAAUCUGAAGUCUGUGCGAUCAGAAAUUUAAGAAAUAGCCAAGGAUCAGACCCCAGAAGUUUAAAAAAUAAAAAAUAAAAAAGGAAGCAGAAUAAAGACGAAUAAGGAUCGUUUUUACCAAAGACGAACCGAGAAGAAAGUGAAAGUAUGAAGAACUGCCGGAUCUGAAGGUGAAAUUGAAAGUGAUCGGUAGAAGAAUUGUGGAUCUAAAAGAGAGAAAGAGGAGUAUACCUUAGGAGAAAACUGAUGGCCGCGAGGGAAACUGGGAGGAGUCUGCCGCGGCUACAAUGUCGCGUAGGACGAAUGCGAAAACUUCAGGAGAAGAGAGGGUUUCCCGCUGCACCAUGGGUCAGUAUUAAGGGUUUAAAAUGGGCCCUUAUUGGGCCUUUAUUACCAAAGCCUUUACCAUAAGAUUUUAUGUUCUCCUUUAUUUUUAAAAAAUCAUAUUUAAAAUAAUUACAAAUAUAAACCAAUAUUAAUGUUACAAAUCUAUUAUUAAUAAACAAAUAUUCACUCAUACAUAAAUUCUACCAAAAUAUAAAUCUAUCACUAAUACAUGCAAAACAUAAUAAAAAUAAAAAAUUUAGUGUGUUAUUACUCAAUAACUUCUUGAACAUGUUUUUAUUUUUCAAGGUUAGAUGGAAGGUUUAAACUUGAAUUUUAAUUCUUCACAUGUCACUUGGACAUAGCACUAGAAAUAAACUAAAAAUUAUUGACAUAGAUAUUGAUUUUAUUCAUUAAUUAGUGUUGACACAUUAUUGUGUUUACGUGUCUGAUUUUAUUGAUAAAGUAUUAUUAAUAAAAAAUGGUACAAACUUUCAUUAACGACUUAGUAUAAAGUUGAGAAAAUUGAAAAAUGGAAGGCCAAAUUGAUAAUUAACUACAAAAUUAAGGUUUAUAUUAUAUACUUUAAAUAAUAACAACAAUAACAAAGUUGAAUAAAAUCGUGCUCACUUCUGCACGCCUUUUUUCUUUUUUUAUUUUUUAUAUAUUGGUCAUAGAUUAAACGAAAAGGCAUUUCUAUAACUAGCCAUAUGUUAAAUUACAAUAUUAACAACUAGUGUCAUAAUCCAUAAUUUAAUCAAUAUAUAGUAUGUGUUUUCAUUAUACAUAAAAAGGCAUUAUCAGUUAAACUAUAAAAUAUGUUAAGUUACAAUAUCAAUCUCUAAUUUUGUGUUAAGUUACAAUAUCAAUCUCUAAUUUUGGUUAUUGGUAUAAUAAAUUACCAUUGAGAUCUCUAAAAUUUUGAAACAUUUAAUAUGUUUAUGAGCUUUUAAUUUCAUAACAGUAAUGUAUUUUUUUUCUAAUUACACCAAAUACGUAUGACUCGUUAGACACCAGUUUUAAACUUUUUUUUUCUUUUUACUUUUUGCUUUUCUGUAUAGACAUUCACUUUGGACAAUAUCCAUCCCUUUAGUUUCGCCCUCUCUCCCAUCAUCACUGCUCUUCCAUUACACAAACAAACAAACAUGAAAGCGAAAUUACAUAUCCAUCUUUAUUUUGAAAUUUGGGCAUCACAUUCCUCGGAGUAGGUGCAAGACGGACUCAACCCAACUCUAACAGAUGCUGGAAUUCCUUCGGCCCUUCAUCGAUUUUCCUCGCAAAAAAGUUGUCUUCAUUUGCAUUAGAGAGGCCUCCAGCUUAGACCGUGUACAAUUCUCACUCCAUCCUCAUCCAAUCCUUCUUAACUGCCACUUUGUUCCAAUAUUUUCCCAUUAUGUUUGGGUAUUGUUUUGUAAUUGAAUGUUAAGCAAUAUGAUUCAUGAUUUAGGGGAAAAUAUACAUUUUUGUCUCUCGCUUUAGAUUGAAAUACAUAUAUGAUUUAGUUAUGAUUUUUGGAAGAAAAAUAGGACACGGCAGAGAGUUUUAUUCAAUGUGACAUAAAAGGGUUCUCAUGGGCCGCUGAUGAACUAUAAAGCAUAUGUUUGGUAUGAAAGUCAGAAUUUAGGCGAGAAUUUGAGGGGUUUGGCCACUUAUUUGAUGUGUUCAUUGUAGAGCUUGAAUGGUCUAUUUUGUGCAAAUUUGACUUUUAUUCAAGUGGUGGCCGGUGGGUUGUUGAAGUUCUUAUAUAUUAUUUCUUUUGAAGUUCCAACUAAGUGGGCGAAUUAGAAAAUUCUGAAUAAAAUAUAAAUAUUAGUACACUUGAACUAUUCAUGUUGCCAAAUUUAGUGGUGAGAAUGGAUUAGUUGAUUCGAACAUUUAUUUACAUACAUAAUAAUGUUACUUACCAGAUUUAUACAUCUUUUUCGACGUGUUUGAGGAUUGUGAAAAUGGAAUAGAGCUAGAGAAUAACAAGGCAAACACAAUACUUGUUUGAAUGAAAAAAAUCAAUCAUUUGUGCAUCUAAAUCAUAUAUCUUUGCAUUCAUUUGCUAACAAUUGUUACGUAAAAUGCUAAUUCUUGAUCUCCUCAUGCGUACUGAAAGCUGAAUAAACUUUGUUGUAUGGCUAUUCUAAGAACUAAAAAAACAGAGUUAAAAGAUUUAAAGGUAGAUUGGUUUGAUUUUGGAAUUUCUAGAUCGUAAAACAUUCCGUCUACUACAAGCCCCCAGAUGAACAUCCUCAGUUGUAAAGUAAGUGAAAGUUUCACUUAAAUAAACAGAAUACAAUUAAAUCAAAAUAUCUGAGAAAUUAUUUUGAGAUUCUAAUGGGUGAUCCCAAUGUGAAACACUUCUAAAAGCUCUGCAUCUCAGUCGAAAACUAAAGUAUAGCCUUUUAAUAACUGAAAAGUUUGGGAAUUACUCCCUUCAAAACUAAAUUAUUGAAGGAAAAAAAAUGGCCGGAACAAAGUCCAAAACUCUGGAGACAUUUUCAUCAACAUCUGAAAAAUGAAUAAACCUUUAAGGUGAGGUUAACUACCUCAGCUUAUGCGCCACCAGAUCCGUAUUUCUUCCCGAAGACGAUCACCUGCAACUUAUCGUAACCGGCAAGCACACCAGCACCAGCAACGGCACGGAGAAUGUUAGCACCAGCACCCUUGAAGAGAGACUUGGCACCUUCGUUCUUCAAGAUCUGAGAGAAGGCAUCCAUUGAGCUCUUGUACUUCACUGCUUCACCAGACGUCAUCAUCAUUCUUCUACGAACAGUGUCAAUUGGGUAGGAUGCGAGACCGGCACCAUUGGUGAUGAGCCAACCAAGGGCAAAGCUAGCGAAGAAACUAUCCUGCACUCACAAAAAAAGUAGAAUAUAAUCAGAACAUAGCAAUUCAAACAUUGGCAUCCACUGAUGAACCCAAUUUAUAUAAUCCCCACAGCAAACAACUAACACCACUAGCAAACUGACCUGCAUCUUCCCGGUCAACAAAACAGGCUUUAGAGAAUCGUACAUUCCGAAGUAUAAACCUCGGUACACGAUGAUACCAACGCAAGAAAUGUUAAACCCACGAUAUAGACCAGCAACACCAUCAGACUGCAAUGUCUUCCUGUAGACAUCAACCAGUCCAUUGAAUUGCCUUUCUCCACCCUUCUUGGCAGCUUUGGCAUCAUUUGCCAAUCGGGUACGAGCAUAGUCAAGAGAGUAAACAAAAAGAAGAGAUGAAGCACCAGCUGCACCACCGGAUGCCAGGUUACCGGCAAACCAUUUCCAGUAACCAUCCCUGUCUUUCUUGAAGUUGAAAAGUCUCUUGAAGUAAUCCUUAAAAGCAAAGUUCAAUGCCUGGAGCAAAAAACCGUAAAACAAUUAGCUCAAGAAAGUUGAGAAAAUGGAGAGAUAAAAUUAGCUCAAGAAACAAUUAGCUCAACAGAAGAAAACCACUCACUUGAGUGGGGAAAUAACGGAUGACAUUGGCAGUGUUUCCUCUCCACAAUGAACCGAAACCCUCCUCUUGCAUUGUGCGCUUAAAACAAUCACCAAUACCCUUGUAUGGCUCAGACAAACGUCCGGAUUUAAUCAUCUCAUCCUGAUUUUGAAUUAAGAGUUUGACACGCUCAAUGGGGGCAGCAGCUGUCUUGGACACAGCAGCAGACACACCACCCAUAAGAAAGUCAAGCAUAAAGUUUCCUUUCUCAGCAGGGGCAGCAACAAAAAUGGGGGAAGCGGUUGAGGCAACCCUAGAAAGAUCAGUUGUAGCUACACAGGAUUGCACAGCAGGAUAUUGAAAAGCAACAUUGGAAUAAUUGGUGAUCGGUGCACGUCUCUGAUAGAGAGCAGGAUUCCUAAGGCCAUCAUCACUGGCACGAAAACCCGAAGCAACCCUCGACUGAAGAGAGAGCUGACCAGCAACCUUCUGAUAGAUAGUGGGAUGUUGAACCUGAUCAGCCAUGGCUACUUCUUC